This 255-nucleotide ribosomal RNA is filed under the name uncultured bacterium. RNAcentral's name for it is "partial 16S ribosomal RNA". It matches the Rfam family "Bacterial small subunit ribosomal RNA", at positions 99 to 354 of the family's 1533-position model. The record is from RNAcentral.
CAGACGGGUGAGUAACGCGUGGGUAACCUGCCUUGCACUGGGGUAUAACACUUAGAAAUAGGUGCUAAUACCGCAUAAGCGCACGGUCCUGCAUGGGACAGUGUGAAAAACUCCGGUGGUGCAAGAUGGACCCGCGUCUGAUUAGCUGGUUGGCGGGGUAAAGGCCCACCAAGGCGACGAUCAGUAGCCGGCCUGAGAGGGUGGACGGCCACAUUGGGACUGAGACACGGCCCCAACUCCUACGGAAGGCAGCAG